AUGAUUGCAAAAUUGCCUCCUUCAUGGAGGAAUUUCGCCACAACUCUGAAGCAUAAGAGACAGGAGAUAUCAAUUGAAAAUCUGAUUGCAUCUCUUGAUGUUGAAGAAAAAGCUCGGGCUAAAGAUACCACUGAAAAAGGAGGUGAGGUUCAGCCUACUGCUAACAUGGUGCAGAGGUACCCACAGAACAAGAACAAAGGGAAGAACAAACAUGUUUUCAACAAGCCUACCAAGACUACUACCUUCAAGAAGAAGAAGUUCAACAAGGCUGAGCUAGAGUGCUACGCCUGUGGGAAGCCUGGACACUUUUCCAAGGAAUGCCCUGAACGUGCAGACCGCAGAGGGAAAACAAGCUCCAAGACUGUCAACAUGGUGACCGCUAGCAAUACUGAUGGGUCGCAAGGGAUUCUUCCGUCCUAA
This 420-nucleotide ribosomal RNA is filed under the name Triticum aestivum (bread wheat). Its description in RNAcentral is "partial small subunit ribosomal RNA". Lineage: Eukaryota; Viridiplantae; Streptophyta; Magnoliopsida; Poales; Poaceae. The record is from RNAcentral.